RNAcentral lists this long non-coding RNA (755 nucleotides) under Brassica napus (rape). Its description in RNAcentral is "long non-coding RNA (BNAP_LNC006102)". Lineage: Eukaryota; Viridiplantae; Streptophyta; Magnoliopsida; Brassicales; Brassicaceae. The record is from RNAcentral.
UAAUGGUAUGUCAGCUAAUCGACAUACGGGUCACUUAAGUACAAAUAUACAUGUAUAUUGAUAUUCUGAAAGAGACAUUGUAACACAAAAAAGGAAUCAAAUCUUAACCAGCGUAUAACUGCAUACUCUAUAAAUGUGAACUCAGAUUAACCUCCCUUGCCAGUCCAAAAUCAGCAAUGUUAAUGAUAAAUUUAGAGAUAUAUAUCUUUUGCAACAAUCAACACAACAUAAACAAAGAACAACACUUUCUUAUAGCCAGAGGGAAGAGAAAGAGAGAUAAAUAAAAAAACCUUUGAAUUAGAAGCUGUAUGAGAAAACGAAGCAACUUUCUCUUCUUGGAGUUUGGUUUCAAUGUCUGAACUCGAUCUAAAUGUGGAUAAAAAAUGUGUAAUAAGUUUCUACUGUUAUUAGGAAUAGCGAGGAUGAGUCUCAGAGGAUGAAGCCUUGCCUUUUUAUAGAUGGGAUCUAUCUUUGCAACCUGAGUUUCCAUAGCGAAGGUAAACUCAAGAUACCUGUUUCGUCUUUAAAACCAUUAGCUAGACUGAAACCGCUUAUUGGAACUCAUCAAACUACAGAGAAACGAUACCGAUGAAUCUAAAACGUUACACAAUAAAAUAGUAUGAAAGAAGUCUAACCUCAAUGGUGGAAGGAAAGCGAGCUGGAGAGUUGGCCGUUUCACCAAACCUAAGUUUUCUAAAUUUUUUUCAGUUGAGAGGAUGAUUUGGAAGGGAAGAAGGCUUACCUUUUUAUAGGUG